GGACUACCCGGGUAUCUAAUCCUGUUUGCUCCCCACGCUUUCGCGUCUCAGCGUCAGCAACGAUCCAGAGGGCCGCCUUCGCCGCCGGUGUUCCUCCUGAUAUCUACGCAUUUCACCGCUACACCAGGAAUUCCACCCUCCUCUAUCGCGCUCCAGCCGACUAGUUUCCGACGCACUUCCGAGGCUGAGCCUCGGGCUUUCACAUCAGACUUGGCCGACCGCCUACACGCCCUUUACGCCCAGUCAAUCCGAACAACGCUUGCACCCUCCGUCUUACCGCGGCUGCUGGCAC
RNAcentral lists this ribosomal RNA (292 nucleotides) under uncultured bacterium. RNAcentral describes it as "partial 16S ribosomal RNA". The record is from RNAcentral.